RNAcentral lists this long non-coding RNA (208 nucleotides) under Homo sapiens (human). RNAcentral describes it as "non-protein coding lnc-PPME1-2:1". Lineage: Eukaryota; Metazoa; Chordata; Mammalia; Primates; Hominidae. The record is from RNAcentral.
CUACGGCUUCUAGUGCUUUGGCAAAAACCUUAGAUAUGGUUGCAAUUUCAUAUUGUUGGAACAUUUGCUGUAUCCCUGGGGGUUACAGAUCUCUCUCUGUUUGCUGUGGCUAAACCAAGAAAGAAGGCACACACAGAUUUCUUCAGAAAUUAUGAUUCCAUGAAAGAUUGUGAGGAGAUGAAGAAGGCUGAUAUCUUUCGGAAUACAA